Molecule: ribosomal RNA, 396 nt
Filed under: Flavobacteriaceae bacterium
Lineage: Bacteria; Pseudomonadati; Bacteroidota; Flavobacteriia; Flavobacteriales; Flavobacteriaceae
Description: bacterial SSU rRNA
Rfam family: Bacterial small subunit ribosomal RNA
Source: RNAcentral
CAACGAUGAAGAGUUUGAUCCUGGCUCAGGAUGAACGCUAGCGGCAGGCCUAACACAUGCAAGUCGAACGGUAACAUUGGUGCUUGCACCAGAUGACGAGUGGCGCACGGGUGCGUAACGCGUAUGCAAUCUGCCUUGUACUGGAGUAUAGCCCAGGGAAACUUGGAUUAAUCCUCCAUAGUAUAUAGAAAUGGCAUCAUUUUUAUAUUAAAGGUUACGGUACAAGAUGAGCAUGCGUCCCAUUAGCUAGUAGGUAUGGUAACGGCAUACCUAGGCAACGAUGGGUAGGGGUCCUGAGAGGGAGAUCCCCCACACUGGUACUGAGACACGGACCAGACUCCUACGGGAGGCAGCAGUGAGGAAUAUUGGACAAUGGGGGCAACCCUGAUCCAGCCA